UUUAUGGUGCAUCGACCGGGAAUCGAACCCGGGCCGCACGCGUGGCAGGCGAGCAUUCUACCACUGAACCACCGAUGCU
This is a non-coding RNA of Caenorhabditis elegans, 79 nucleotides long. NCBI's taxonomy places the organism in Eukaryota, Metazoa, Nematoda, Chromadorea, Rhabditida, Rhabditidae. The record is from Ensembl.